This 381-nucleotide ribosomal RNA is filed under the name uncultured bacterium. RNAcentral's name for it is "partial 16S ribosomal RNA". It matches the Rfam family "Bacterial small subunit ribosomal RNA", at positions 524 to 901 of the family's 1533-position model. The record is from RNAcentral.
UACGUAGGGUGCGAGCGUUAAUCGGAAUUACUGGGCGUAAAGCGUGCGCAGGCGGUUUUUUAAGCCAGAUGUGAAAUCCCCGGGCUCAACCUGGGAACUGCAUUUGGAACUGGAAGACUAGAGUAUAGCAGAGGGGGGCAGAAUUCCACGUGUAGCAGUGAAAUGCGUAGAUAUGUGGAGGAAUACCAAUGGCGAAGGCAGCCCCCUGGGUUAAUACUGACGCUCAUGCACGAAAGCGUGGGGGGAGCAAACAGGAUUAGAUACCCUGGUAGUCCACGCCCUAAACGAUGUCAACUAGGUGUUGGGGGAGGAGACUUCCUUAGUACCGCAGCUAACGCGUGAAGUUGACCGCCUGGGGAGUACGGUCGCAAGAUUAAAACU